This is a non-coding RNA of Coturnix japonica (Japanese quail), 8061 nucleotides long. The record is from RefSeq and is a predicted model, not a curated record. NCBI's taxonomy places the organism in Eukaryota, Metazoa, Chordata, Aves, Galliformes, Phasianidae.
AACUGUAACAAGAAAAAGAGGAGGGGGAAAAAAAAAAAAAAAAAGGAAAAAGAGAAAAGAAUAGUGGAUCAAUAACAGUUAUAGGGCAGUCUACCCAAAGCCUUUGCAAAAUGUUUCUUUGGUGAUGAUCAAGACUGAUGAUGACCAGAUCAUAAGGAAAACAUUUCAAACCUGCUUAGGUUCUUGAAAAAAAGUUCUGCUUCUUCUUCACUGACUAUUGCCUUCAAGAGAAAGGCACUUAAGAAUGUAUAGUCUUGACCUGCACAGAAAGAAGCAACAGUGCAAGGUGCAAUAAUCUUGCAGUGCCGUUACCAUCAAAAAUCUCAUCUCCAGUAUUGCAUUUAAAUAACACUGGCAAACAAGAAAAGAAAGCACUGGAAGUGUCCUAGUGAAGAAGGUGAUCAGGGACCAGAUCUUGGCCUGAGAUAAUGAUGUUGGUGGUGCCCUUUAAUGAUGCUGAUGACAGUGCUCUUGGGAUCAGAUGUAAUUUUCCUUCCUAUAAAAGUCCUUUUUGGCAUGUGCUUUUGAUACUUGAGUGUUUUUCAAUACUCAACAAUGCGGUUCCUUGUGAUAUUUCUCUCCUAUAUUAAAACCUGGAGGGUUUAACAGAAGAUUACAGAUUGGAUAUCUGAGCAUGGUGCCCAGCACUGCAGCAAGCUGCAUUAUAGGCUUCUUAAUGCUUAUUCUGACUAGUGCUGAGAGCAUUUUAAAGGAAAAUAUAAUUAAAAAUAUACAAAUAAAUUUCUUCUUUAGAAACAAACUCAAAUAAAAGUUGGGAUGAAUUGUUACUCUAAGCAUUUGAAAUACUUAAUCUGCAAAGCAUCAAAACAUUUCAAUUUUACAUACACCAUUUCCUCCCAAUGACACUAAUGAGUGCGUAGAAACUUGCAAAGUGCCAUUGAAGUGUCAUGAUGAGCAGAGCUAUGACUGUGGGAAACCAUGGCAGCCCUGAGGGAGCAGCCAGCUCUUAUGCUGCCGCCGCUCACCAACAUCCCAUAUAUACAACAGCCAUCCACUGCUGCAGACACACGUGCCUAUCAGCGGUGACUUGAAACAACCUCCCUUUCAAGCCCAUAGCACGCAGCACAGCAACUACUCACCUCUCAGACCCAAGCAAGAACUCUAGAAACCAAGAUCUCCACAUCCCAUCACAAAAGGUAUUUGCAGUCAUAUAGAUCUUUACAGAGCCAAAACAUUUUGUAGCCAGCAAUUAAUCUCGAUAUAUCCCCCAUCUGUUUAUUCAUUUGCCUUUUUCAGGGUGUGGGGAGGUGUUCUUUUUAAAGAUGCAUAGACAUGAAGAAGAUUUAGAGGCCUUUUACUGACAAGGGUGUUGGGUUCCCUCAGUUGAUAUAUAUAUUGGAGUUUGUUUAUCACUGCAUGUCCAAGAAGAACUUACAGAAAAACAGAAGUGAAAUGCAGCUGUCUGGUUGAUUUCUUUCUUAUUAACACGUCUAUUGUGUUAACAGGUAAAGCAUUCAACAGAUUGGUUAAAAUUCUCCACAGUUUUCAUUUUUAUGCUUUCUUCAAAACUCCCUGUAGCAAUGAGAGAAUUGAUGUUUGGGAUAUUUCUGUCAGUUGGCUCUGAACUUUUAAGUCUACCAGUGUGAAGUUGGUAGAGUCAGAAAGGAAGGGAUUUUCUAAAAGGAAAAUAAAACAAACCCCAAAAAAGAAGACAUCUAGAUUUGAUAAGGGACUGUUUUACGUCUGCUCCUUUCUUUCUCUUAUCACUUUAUAUGAAAAGCAAAGGAGAUCUUGUGUUUUGCCCAGCAGCAUAGCCAUGUUGUAUUCUCUGGGGAUUUGUGCAGGAAAGCCUGCUGAAGGAGCAAGCCAGUGCUUUGUUUCCACGUAAUUUUAAUUUGAUUUGCUAGGGUUAUCUGGAGUCUGGACCAGCAACUGGCCACCGUGUCCAGACUUGUCACUGAAAACCCCAAGCAAUCUAAAACAUGAAAGGUCCCCACCACAGACAAGAACAAAGUUUGGGUUGAAACCCAAGGUUGCAUCUGGGGUGACAAGCACCUUCAAUGAACCUAGCAUGGCUUCUGUAGAUGCAAAUGCCAGGCUGCAAGGCCCGGAAUGGCCUCCAUCCCUGUGCCACCCACCAGCCGGGAGGUCUGCCCUGCCUGGUGCUCCUUGGGGCUCACCUCUUCAGGCCUGCUAAGCAGAGGGGCUGCAGAUGGGUGAGGGGACCAGCUCUGAGAUCUCAUGGGACCACACUGCAGGGCACUACAGGGGAAUAAUGUGGGCAGGAUUAAGCAGCAGACUUGCUUCCCUCUCAUAGCACUGACUGGAAGGUCUCCAAAAUGCAUCCAUGCUUCUCCUGUGCCCACUGACGCUGACUUCUCCCUUGUUCUGUCACCACCAUGCUGUAGUUACAGGCAGUGUGGAAAAGAAGGAACAGGAUUUGCUAUGAAGGCAAGAGCAGGGGAGACAGAGAGCAGGUCCCUGCUUUUAAGUGCCUCUGCUGCUGAUGCUUGGGAAGCUGAAGCAGGGCAAGAGACUGCCUCAGUCCACCCACGGCUGGGGUGAGGGCAGUGGGCGUCACAAUAACACAUGCCAAGUGUUUAAUUUUUCCAGAGGAACACUGAAAGCAAUGAUGUUGCUGCUCUCGGUGGCUGGAGUAGGCCCUCAGUAGGCGGGAAUGAGAUUAGAGACAAAUCUCCCCUCCUUCACCCUUCUGCUAAAGGCUUUGAUUGAUUUCCUGUGGGUGUUGGUGAAACCCUUUGUGCCAGAAAGGAAUUGAAAUACUUGAUUAGACAUACAGCUGAGAUUUAAAAGUAUGCUUUUUCUUUCUUCCUUUCUUUCUUUAAAAAAAAAAAAUUAUUUUUUCCUUAAUUUGGUUUAUAUUUAUGCAAGUGAUAUGCUAUUACAGCAGGGCUUUCCUCAUAAGGGGAAAUAAGAAAAUGCCUCAGAAAAUGCCGCUUUUAAGCAGGAAACAUGACCUGAUGUGAUCUGCAGAUGACCUCAGAAGAGCAGCCACUGUAGCAGGUGGUUAUUCACCCUGGCAUGGCUGCUGAGCUACAGGCUGCAUCUCUCCAGCCACCUCACUUCUCCGAAUAUAAAGGAACAUGGUUGUUCCACACACUGCUAGAAAGGAGGGUCUCUUUCUGUAACAAUCCUUUUGCACCCUUCUUGACCUAAGUCUUGAACAACUCUGUAACCUUGAGGCAGAAAAGAAGUUGCACAAACUCUGCAGCACACAGGAUCAAAAUUCAGAACCACAUCUUCCAACUGCAAUAAUACACAGGUACUAUGUUUUGAAAUAACAAAACUUAUGCUCUGUCUUCAAAAGAAGGCAAAACCUUUUGCAUUAAAUUCAGGAGCUGAAAAACAUUACAUUCAAGUAAAUGCAUUGAUGAUGUUUUGUUUUCUUUUUACUGCUUUCCACUUAAAAUGCCGUGAAUGUUUUUAUCUACUUUUACAUUUUCUCAGGGGAGGAAACGAGAGGUUGCAACUGAGUUGGUGAAACUCUAGGAGGUCAGGAAUGGUUUGGGUUAUUGGCAUUCAGGAAAGACUGGUGGGAUUUUUGGCACUCUGCUCUUGGUUUUUAGAACUACUUUGCCCUGAAACCUAUAAGGAUAUAUGUGUAACCACUUCUUUGCUCCAUUGGACUGUUCAUCUUUCCAUUACUUCCCCCUAAAAAAAAACUAGGGACAUCUAAAUAGGGACAUCAGGUACCUGAAUGAGAAAGUGAUCAGAGAGAAACCAUCAAUGCUGGUAUUUAUGUGGACCAAAAGAUGAUGGUUCUGUGUGAGCUAAUGAUUCACGAAGAUGAUCCUGAACUAGUGACGUGUAGAAAGUCCUCGCUGCAACCCAUCUGCCUAAUGCAUCUGGACACAGGUAAUCUCUGGGCUUAUAUUUCUCACAAAUAUGCUUUAAAUGGAGUAAUCUUGACAUUUUCAGUGGAGGUUCCAGCACUUUCUGUGCUUCGCUUUCCCUGUAAAAUCUCAAGCCACUGAAAUCUUGUGUGGUGUCUCUCUUUCAGUGAGGUACCAUCAGACACAAUGAUUGUACCUGGGGUUAUGGGUGCACACAGCUGCCCAGGCAAGGAUCCUACAACACAGUCCAUCACAAGCUUUGUCACCUGCUGUGCUGUCAAAGGCAGAUUCUUCAAGGGCUGCACCUCUCUUUUGUAGGCCUCUCUGAUCUUUGCCUGUGCCUUCCAACUCCAUCCAGACUCCACCCAUCAUCUUCAGGCUCCUCAUCCCAACUGAGGGACACAGUUCCUGCUCUAACGUUUUUCUCAUUUAUUUAUUUAUUUAUUUUGCUAUCCUCAGUGAUGUUUGCUCCUUUCACAGCUCAGCGACAUGCUUUUCUCUGUGCAGCUCCUUGUAUGCACGCCCACUCACUGUUCUACUUGCAGUUAGCUCUGCAUUUGAACAAAAUUACCGCCCUCUGCAAAUCCUGAGAAAGCAAAGCUGCUGCAAAGUCUGUGACAGAGAGCAAACAACGUGCAAACAGGCUGAAAUCCCCCAGCUCCACUGAAACCCACGCUCCCAUUUUCAUUCCUUUUGGUGAACUCACUGGCUCUGGCAAGGGAAACAGCUCAGCUUGGCUCCCCCAGGAUCUUAAGGAGGUAAGUUUGUUAGAAGACAGGAUUAAUCAUAAUAUAAACCAUAUGCUAAUUUCCUCCUAAAAAUCUCACAGGAUUUGCUUCCAGUUUUAAUGUUACGCCUUCUCACUUCACCUCUCACACCUGCUUGAAGACUCCUGAGACUUUUUAGUGUUGCCAGUAAGCAAUCCAACAAAACUAAGAUUAUUUCUGGUCUCUGGGACAUGGUCCCAGGUCCUGUUACUAUCUCACACAGAAGCACAAAUUCCUGUUUUUUUUGUGUUUAUUUGUUUUUCAAGGAAAGGUAGAAGGGAUGUGCCAGCAUUUAAGGCAAGAAAGCAAAAGGAUAGAAAGAAUGUGUGUGAGUGUUAGCUCUAUUGGAGGGGAGAGGAGAGAGCCUCCAAAGAAAUUUUUUCUUGUUUCUCGGUACUUGUCCAAAAUGAAUCUUUGCUGCUGUUCAGGUUAAUCACUAGAUUCCAAACUGCACAAGAGGAAUGAUGCCUAUGAUGCAAAGAAACAGGAAGUACAGUCAUUUAUUAAGCUAUUUGGGUUGACGGCAGGCAGACAAAGUGAGGUAUUUGCUUUCCUCCUCUCUUCGUCAUCAAAGGAAAACAGUGGUGAAACCACUGUCAGAUGGAGUUUUACAAGACUUCAUGUGGUGUACCACGUUUGCCCUGAUCAUGAGUGUGGGGAGCAUGGUGACAAGGCAGAGCAGCUCCUGCUAGGAGAGCAUCAGCAGCCUCAUCGCAGUGUUUGAGCACGACACAGAGCAGGUGGCAGGAGGCAGCAGGAGAUGCAAGCCAGGUCUGUAUGGAGGCCAGCUGCGAGUCAUCUGCUCUGAGUCAUGAGGAGCAGAUUUCCCUACUAGAGCACAGAGAAUUCUAUGUCUUCUCUAACUCCACAUUGUAGCAAAAUCAAGACCUGAAUGGGCAUGUGAGUGAAUGUACAGACAGAAGUGCAUAUACAUAUAAAUCUAUGUAUGUUAAUAUAUUAAUGAGAGCUCUCCACAAGUGAAGAAAAAAGUAAGCAAGCUGAAGAAAUACUUAAGAAAAGCUAUGGACUUUAUGUGUAGCACCUGGCCUUUGUAGCCUUUCUCUCUGUUAGCCUUUCCCCUUGCCUGCCCUUUUCUAAUUUAUGCAAUCCCCCAUUAAAAUAAUGACCCAUGUACCUGAAAGCACAAGAUUUUCCCCAAAACCUUUGUUCAAGAAGGGGAGAAGCAGUGUUUAAACUCAAGCCUUGAUACUUGUGUUUAGUGAUGCAGAGGAUCAGAAAACUAGUAUUAAAUUUACAUUUUAUGCCAUCUUUUCCUUGAAAGAGGCAGUACUUUUUCGUUAUCAGCUAGCUGUAAAUAGCUUCUGUCCUCUCCCAUUAGGUAAACCUGCAGGCAAAGAGGUUCCUGGAGAGCAUCCUUGCUGAGGGCACCAGCCCAAUCCAGCUCUACUCUGCGCUGGUGUUCCCCACUGGAGCAGUGAGUCUGCCUUUCACCUCUGUGAGCACACUGGUUUCCUGAAAUAAAGUGAACAGUGAAGGCAAGUGGAAAGACCAUCUCCCAUGGGACAGAUUUUAGAAGCAACAGUCAUGCUUGCUCAGCGGUAAUACCUGUCACAGCUGAUGGCCUUGGUACCUGAAAGCAAGCCUGAACGAAGGGGGUAGUGUUCUUCGUGAGCAAUAUCCACUGAGAAAAUGAACUCUACUUCAGGCCACAUCCCAUGUUUGCUUAUUUGGAUGAAAAUCUAACACUGAGUGAAAUUUUCAAAAGCAUAAAAAACCCAGGAGUAUAAAUUCCAAUUUCAAGAUGAAAGAAAUGUGGUAAAUCAGUGUGGGCAGGAACUAGCGUCUUUUAAAUGCCAGCUUGGUUACCUCCGUAUUGCACGGCAGCCGGCUGUGGAAGCAGCUCCUGAGGCAUUUGUGAAGGGGGCCUGAAAUACUCUGGAAGAUGCUAUCCCAGAAGAUAUCUUAAUUAUUCAGAUAUUCAGAUUUAUUAUGGGAUUUAUAAUUACACAGGUUGUGAUAGCUGCACUGGUUAGAUCCCAGACUAAUGAAUCUGCACCUCAAUUUACACAUUUAUUUAGGGUACAACACGGCCAUAUCUUAAGCACCCCCACCAGCUGCUUUAUGCCCAUCACAUCGCCACUGCUUGUAAACACUGAACAGAGUUAUGUCCCUGCCUGGUGCCUUUGAGUUUGAGCCUGUAUGUUUAGUAAUGGCAAGAGAAAUGCAAUGCCACGUGGCUUUUCCAGUCAUCACUCAUGUCAUCAUGUGUCAUAAUGCCCAACGAACUUGUGAACAUGCAGGCACCUUAACAUAAACUUUCUCUCAAAACUGGCAUAACAGCCAUCACAGAAGAAAGGUCUGUUCCCCAUCCAUUAGGAAGAACGCGCACACAAAAGAAAUGGAAAAGAAGGAAGUGACCAUCAGCCCUUACAGACAAUGGCAAAGCUGAGAAGUUACUGGCUUAUUUCCUUUAUUAAGCCCAAAAUAACACUUUCAAAAAUCCUGACUUCAUUAAUAAAUCAAAUACCUUCAUUAAAGAAACAUUACUGCCAUUUUCUAUACUUUAUUUUAAGGCAUACAGAAAAAAAAUAUUUAACAAAUGGGUAUACAAUUAAAUGCCAGGGACUGCUAAUUACAGCCCUCUUGAAUGCCUCUGCAAAACAAUGAUACUCAAUACAAUAUGUUAGAAAGGGCGGGGAAAAGAAAGAGGAAGCUGAAGACGAUCUAAUUCAUGUUAGUGCAGAUAUAUGCUUGCCUGUGGCUGCAGGCUGCAAACAAGCCAUCAGUGUAACCCAGAAUGGCAGCCAAAGGAUACUUUAGAUUCACAUCUUUGCUUCUGCUUCUCUAAUUCAUUUCCAAAACAUUUCAUCUCUACCUAAUUAUGGAGUUUAAUGACAGAACGUGAAGGACUGGCUCAGGUUUCAGGCCAUUCCAGCAGAGUUUUAAUGAUACAUUACAUCCUUCAGGUUGCAGAACCUAUAUGUGCUUAGCUGUGAUUUAUCAGCCCUGGCAGAGGCAGGUACUUCAAAGGCAAUCUUAUAUAAAAAAUAAAUUCUGCCUUUGCCAAGCAUCGGAAAAAGCACUGAAUUAAAUUUAAAAAUCAAUUCCUACAGACAAGAGAGUCAUAAAAACUCAGUGGGCUUGUCUAUUUGGCCAACAGGCACGAAAUCAUGAAAGUACAAUUUUGUAAUCAAUAAUAGCAAUACAGCGUAUGUUUUUCGAUUGGAAAAAAUUAAAGAUGCCAAAACAACAUUGAUAAAUACUUAGGCUGAUUUGUGACAGUCCCAUUAAGCAGAAACACAACAUGCAUUUUGAUGAAUUUCCAACUAGUUUAUGUCAUACUAUAGUUUUUAUUUUUCAAAAAAGAAUAUUAAAACUAUUAUAAGCUUUGUCACCUGCUGUAAGGCAGAAUGAUGUAUUUUAUUCACUGCACAUUUCAUUUGAGAGGCAAAAAAGCAUAAUUUACUUCUUUAUAAAAGGGAAAUAUAUAUAACUAUAUAUAUAUAUAAUUUUAUUGG